This 2525-nucleotide long non-coding RNA is filed under the name Phaseolus vulgaris (common bean). RNAcentral describes it as "long non-coding RNA (PVUL_LNC002507)". The record is from RNAcentral. Lineage: Eukaryota; Viridiplantae; Streptophyta; Magnoliopsida; Fabales; Fabaceae.
AAACAUCUAAAAAUCAACUCACAUCACAAAGGAAACCUAAAGAUUGAUACUAGAAUUGGAUUAAAAAAUAAAUAAAGAAUAUCAAAAUUAUUUUUUUUCAAUGGUGCAUAAGGCACAAAAGUAUGAUGGCCAAUAUGACUUCUCUGCCGCAAACCAAUUCAUAUCUUGUGCAGCAGCCUGCUUCAGCUGGUCCAUGGUGUAAUAAAGUUUCUCACAGUGCACACUUAAAAAAAUCAAACCGUGGGUACCUUGUUUAAUUGCAAAAUUCUUUCUCUUGUUAAUCUCACACACACACACACACACACAUAUAUAUAUAUAUAUAUAUAUAUAUACAUAUAUAUACCCGUGGCAGCUCCAGCAAUUUGAAUCAAAGAGAUAUCAAAGGUGUGGGUCCCACUAAUAAUUGUAAAAGCUUCUUUCCUUUUCAAUUCUGCUAUUCACGUGCAGUGCAGAUUUUUUUUUUUUUCACUUUCCAAUUCAAUUCUUAUACGGACCCCACAAAAAGAAGUUCACGUUUUCAUCAUUCUGCACCAAAUACACUUGGAAAUUGGAAUACCAUUUCCAAAUCAAUUCUCCAAACCAUUGGCAGCCCCACAAUUCUCCUCUCACAAACCCCACACCAAGUUUCAUCCAUUGCAAGAUUCUCACCAAAAUUGAAGUUUCUUUAUUACUGUACAUGUAAUGAAUUAUAUCAAUUCAACAAAGUAACCGCUGGUCCCCACAAGAAGUCUCCAAUUGUCAAAUCCCACAAAAUUGCUUUUGAAAUUAGAAGCAAAAAUCACGCUGCCUGCACUCCAAUUUCUCACCAAAUUUCACGCCAAUCACCGAGCUACUUCAGAAAUAAACUUCUAUGAAUUCCACUGUGUAAUUUUAGUUUGCGGGAAGCUCCCAAUCAAUUCUUCAUGAACGUCCAAAUCUCACAAUGCAAGUUCUCGUACAACACCCACUAUUUGUCUCAAUUUUUCAGCUGCAACUAAUUUGACACCAACAAAACUAAGCCAAUGUAAUUGUAACACAGAAAUCAUAAAAUUCUGCACCAAAUAAUACAGCAACUAAAUGGCAACAAAAAUAUUCACUGCACCCCAAAGCAGACAAAUCAAGACUGCACCAACAAACUAUGCUUCAAACAAACAGCAAAAAUAAGCAACUGUAAACAGCCAACUCAUUUCAAUCAGUGCUUUGCACCAGAAAUUUCUGUACCAAAAAUCUGCUCUAGAAUUAGACAAAUCGGUGCCAAUUGGUUCCAAAAUAUUCUGCACUACCAAUUUUCUGGACUACACCAGCAGCAAUAUUAAUCAAGCAACAACACCUCCUCUGCAUUGCAAAUGAAAUUCAGAGGCACAAUUUCAAUUAGAAACUACAAGAGCAAAACCAGAAACACAAAGAAGCUUGAUUCCAAAUGAACUGCCCCAAAACAAUUUAUCAAACACCUUGGCUGCACUAAGACACAAUCGAACCAAAUUUCUCCAAGCGAUUCACUCACUGAAAGAAGGCCCAGGCUGUGAGGAGAUUGAUUCACCGAAUUCACCAAAUUCGAUUUUCCAGUUUCAAUUUUCUUCAACACCUCACCGUUUCUCCAUUUAAACUUCUCCAAGACGAAGAACAGUGAAGGAAAAACGAGAACGGAAGAAGGAACUUACAUGAAUCAAUUCAUUUUUUACUGCUUUAAUUCUCCGAUCGUCUUCUCCGUUCAAUAGUUUCGCUGGGAAACGUCACUGCCGUUUGCGAUUCCUCCGUUCGCAAUUCCUCCGUGCGCUUCCGAUUUAGGUCGUCGGAAAUCUCUAACCUCCGAUUGGCACCAUUAUUAUUCUUCGAUCAAUCUUCGCACACCGAUUCAAGAUGAAACUGAAGAAGAAAAAUGGAACAGAAGAUGAAGAACAGCAACGCAAAUCGCAGAGAAAAUUUCCAGGAAAAAUCUGAAAAACCUACAUAUCUGCUAUUCGUACCACUGGAUUCAUUGUCCACACCAAAUAUCCAAUGAUAUCUCCAAACAGGUUGAGAUUAAUAUGCACACCACUGGAAUCGCUUUUUGCACCACAGAGAAUUUUUCAGAAAUUUUUUUCGAGAAUUUUCGAAAAUGAAAUUUGGAGAAGAUGAUAAUGGAAACAUAACUAUAAAGAAAAUUGCCAAUGCUCGAAUAACAAUUUAUGAACUCAAAAAUAAAAAUCGAAAAAGCACUUGAGCUCUAAUCUAUGAAGAAAUUUGAAAAAAAUUCAAAAAUUUAACUAAUGGAAUUUAUGACAAUUUUUUGACUAAACAUGACCCUAGACAAAAUAUUUAUGAUUUUAAAAUUAAAAUGACUCAAUAAUAUGAACACAUGAACAUGAGCACAUACAUGAAUGUUCAAGUAAGAACAACUAAUUUGAACCGAAAAAAAAAGACAAAAAAACACAAAAUCAAUAUGUAGAAACAUUCAAGGUGUACAAGACAUGAAAAAAAAAUAUGAAAACAACGCGAAAUUAUGAAAAAAAUAGAAGAAGAUCUUACAACCAUAACUUUGAAUACCAAAUGAUGGAAAAAUGUUC